AAAGUCGUAACAAGGUUUCCGUAGGUGAACCUGCGGAAGGAUCAUUAAAGUGUUUCGGAGCCUGGCUCGGACAUCUCAUCUCGAGGUGUCGGUGUCCAGCGCCCCCACACGUGUUUACUCAACUUGGUUGCCUUGGUGAGCCUGCCCUUGUGGCUGCCGGGGAUGCCUCACGGUGUCCCGGGCUCGUGCUCACCAGUGGAACAUUUGAACUCUUCUGUGAAAAUAGUCAGUCUGAGCAUUAUGCAAAUUAAACAAAACUUUCAACAACGGAUCUCUUGGUUCCG
This 284-nucleotide unclassified non-coding RNA is filed under the name Ascomycota sp. Its description in RNAcentral is "partial contains small subunit ribosomal RNA, internal transcribed spacer 1, and 5.8S ribosomal RNA". The stretch from base 1 to 47 matches the Rfam family "Eukaryotic small subunit ribosomal RNA", at positions 1785 to 1831 of the family's 1831-position model. The record is from RNAcentral. Lineage: Eukaryota; Fungi; Ascomycota.